This 68-nucleotide transfer RNA is filed under the name Marmota monax (woodchuck). Its description in RNAcentral is "tRNA.Ser". Lineage: Eukaryota; Metazoa; Chordata; Mammalia; Rodentia; Sciuridae. The record is from RNAcentral.
AGGAUGUAGCUCAGUAGUAGAGCACUUGUCUAGAAUCCUCAAGGCCCUGGGUUCAAUUCUCAGCACUG